This 1285-nucleotide ribosomal RNA is filed under the name metagenome. RNAcentral describes it as "bacterial SSU rRNA". It matches the Rfam family "Bacterial small subunit ribosomal RNA", at positions 242 to 1520 of the family's 1533-position model. The record is from RNAcentral.
UAGCUAGUUGGUGAGGUAAAGGCUUACCAAGGCGACGAUCUGUAGCGGGUCUGAGAGGAUGAUCCGCCACACUGGAACUGAGACACGGUCCAGACUCCUACGGGAGGCAGCAGUGGGGAAUUUUGGACAAUGGGGGCAACCCUGAUCCAGCCAUGCCGCGUGAGUGAAGAAGGCCUUCGGGUUGUAAAGCUCUUUCGGCCGGGAAGAAAUCGCAUGGGCCAAUACCCUGUGUGGAUGACGGUACCGGAAUAAGAAGCACCGGCUAACUACGUGCCAGCAGCCGCGGUAAUACGUAGGGUGCGAGCGUUAAUCGGAAUUACUGGGCGUAAAGCGUGCGCAGGCGGUUUUGUAAGACAGGCGUGAAAUCCCCGGGCUUAACCUGGGAACUGCGUUUGUGACUGCAAGGCUAGUACGGCAGAGGGGGGUGGAAUUCCACGUGUAGCAGUGAAAUGCGUAGAGAUGUGGAGGAACACCAAUGGCGAAGGCAGCCCCCUGGGUCGAUACUGACGCUCAUGCACGAAAGCGUGGGUAGCAAACAGGAUUAGAUACCCUGGUAGUCCACGCCCUAAACUAUGUCAACUAGGUGUUGGGUGGGUAAAACCAUUUAGUACCGUAGCUAACGCGUGAAGUUGACCGCCUGGGGAGUACGGCCGCAAGGUUAAAACUCAAAGGAAUUGACGGGGACCCGCACAAGCGGUGGAUGAUGUGGAUUAAUUCGAUGCAACGCGAAAAACCUUACCUACCCUUGACAUGCCAGGAACUUGCCAGAGAUGGCUUGGUGCCCGAAAGGGAGCCUGGACACAGGUGCUGCAUGGCUGUCGUCAGCUCGUGUCGUGAGAUGUUGGGUUAAGUCCCGCAACGAGCGCAACCCUUGUCGUUAAUUGCCAUCAUUUAGUUGGGCACUUUAACGAGACUGCCGGUGACAAACCGGAGGAAGGUGGGGAUGACGUCAAGUCCUCAUGGCCCUUAUGGGUAGGGCUUCACACGUCAUACAAUGGUCGGUACAAAGGGUUGCCAAGCCGCGAGGCGGAGCCAAUCCCAGAAAGCCGAUCGUAGUCCGGAUUGCAGGCUGCAACUCGCCUGCAUGAAGUCGGAAUCGCUAGUAAUCGUGGAUCAGCAUGUCACGGUGAAUACGUUCCCGGGUCUUGUACACACCGCCCGUCACACCAUGGGAGCGGGUUCCGCCAGAAGUAGGUAGCCUAACCGCAAGGGGGGCGCUUACCACGGCGGGGUUCGUGACUGGGGUGAAGUCGUAACAAGGUAGCCGUAGGGGAACCUGCGGCUG